Molecule: unclassified non-coding RNA, 253 nt
Filed under: uncultured Actinomycetes bacterium
Lineage: Bacteria; Bacillati; Actinomycetota; Actinomycetes
Description: uncultured actinobacterium contains 16S-23S intergenic spacer region
Rfam family: Bacterial small subunit ribosomal RNA
Source: RNAcentral
AACGUAGGGGGCGAGCGUUGCCCGGAUUCACUGGGCGUAAAGCGCGCGUAGGCGGUUUCUUAAGUCGGAUGUGAAAUCUCACGGCUCAACCGUGAAAUUGCAUCCGAUACUGGGAGACUUGAGGACGGUAGAGGUCGGUGGAAUUCCAGGUGUACCGGUGAAAUGGACAGAUAUCUGGAGGAACACCAGUGGCGAAGGCGGCCGGCUGGGCCGUUCCUGACGCUGAGGCGCGAAAGCCAGGGUAGCGAACCGG